Molecule: long non-coding RNA, 1140 nt
Filed under: Phasianus colchicus (ring-necked pheasant)
Lineage: Eukaryota; Metazoa; Chordata; Aves; Galliformes; Phasianidae
Description: lncRNA (ENSPCLG00000022259.1)
Source: RNAcentral
AUGCAAGCAGCAAGAAAUCCUGUACCAGUCCAGAACUGGAUGAUGCUGGGAAAGAGGAGCUGCAUGCCUCCACCUAAGAGCAGCUGGGUUUGUUUUAAGAUCAAGAACUCCCAUCUAGUGAAUAUGCAGGAAAAAGCUUCCAAUCUAGUGUUGCUUUUUGCCACAAUGCCGUGCCGCUCCUUCCCUAUGUGGGUGCCUCGCGUUAUCAAAAUCAGCCUAUUUCUGUGAUAUUCUUAAAGGUAUGCUGUUGUUGCACAGAGGGGCAGAAAGUUCUGGAGGUUGUGGGGGGGGGGAGAACCCAGAACAAAUGAAGGGAUUUGAUACAUUUUGUAAUACACAUUUCACAUCACUGCACUCAGGAAUAUUGGCUUAAAAUUGAUUUAGUUCAACUAACUUCAGUAAGACUUUGUUAUGUUUGUCUGGGAAGCAGAACAUGCUUCACGAUCAGUUUUCAUUUAAAAAAAAAUUUUGAUAAAAAGUACUCAAUAAUAAGGAAUACUGUAAAACCCCCAAUGUAUCUUUUCUUCCAGCAAUUUCUGAGGCAGAAAGCUGAGCAAGUGCAAAUGGUACCUUUCAAGAUAGCAGGCUCUUCAGGCACAAGGAUGCCUUAUUAGGAGGAUCCUACUAAGCAGGCAUUGUGGCUAUUUGAUCAAAUGGAACUGGAAAGAAAAUGGACCAACUGAUUGAAAUUCCUUCUAGGCAGCUUUCUAUAAUUAGAUUUACAAUCAUAUUAUCUCUAUGUUUUCUAUGGAGACCUUUGUCUAAACUUCAAAGGAUGUCUGUUUCCUUUUAAAGUAGUUCCACUAUCUACAUAUCAAACCUGUCAGAGUGCAGAAAUACUACAUGCCCUCUUCCUGUUCCAGGCCACAGUAAAAUUUACUUUGACAAAAAAAGGCAUAUACCUCUGUUAAGCCAUUACGACUGCAGCAGUAGUCCACUCCAGGAAUAUAUGCUGGGACUUGCUAGCGUUCCAAUGAAACAAGUUAAAAAACAUAAUGGACUUCAGUAUUACAGCUACCAAAAAUAACCUAUGAGGAAAAGAAAAGCAACUGUCUGAUGCAGUGCUAUAAAAUAUGUAAGAAAAAGGCCUCUUUCACAUUUUCAAAUUUAGCCAAAGAAAUAAACAGCACAAACUUGGCA